CAAGAUGGUGCUGAUGGCUGGCUGGCUGGACAUAUUAUUUGGCUUUGACAGACACCAGACAUGAGGACUUCUUAUGCAGUCAGGCAUGCAAACUAUGCAUACUCAAUAAGGGAUCAGCCAGAGGCCUGCAAUACCUAUGAGACCUUGCUACAUGAGCACUGCAGAGAAACUGCCAAGCAGAUUUUGGAAACAUAACUAUAGCCCAUAAUUGGAUGAGUCUAGAAGAUCCUGAUCAUUGGCUCAAACUCAGGCAUUGGGGAAUUUCAACCAGUGCGCUUCCUGGAUGCCCCAGGGACAAGUUUUUUGCUGGAAUAUCUAUUCUACACUGCACAAUACAUGGCAGGCACUUAGGAUCAAUGUCCUUUUGCAUCUACUGCAUGUGCAAGCUGGAUUAGAGACAAGUUAACACUUGUUUGAUAUUAUCAUUUGUGUUAUCAUCAUAUGGUGUACAGUUGAGAAAGUACCUAAAAUUAUUCUCUUAACACCUGGCAUUUUCUGGCAGAGUAAAAUGUUGAAUUUGGCUAUUACAAGAGCUGCACAGAGAAAUUUUACAUGCAUUCAGAAGCUUGACUAAAGAUACAUGAUCUGAAAAGUCUUUGGUUCAUGGUACUGUAUCUGUGGCCCAAGAGGAAAACCUGGAGAGAAAAAAAAAAAAAAAAGAAAUUUUGAAGAAAUAGUUUUGGAACUUCAAAGAUGAUAACUACAGAUUUCAAUUUGUCUGCAGAAUGAAUUCAAGUAAACAGAAAUGUAGUAAUAAUAAGAACUGAAAAAGGCGUAGUAUAUUAAAAUGAAUCAGCAUUGAACAUUGGCUGUUAUCGCUCAGAAACGGACAAAAGCAGUGACUGGUGAAAACAGAAAGCUAGGUUUACAGAUAAGAUUAAGAAGUCAGUACAAAUGUAUUGCUUUUGGAUUAAAAGUAAACACGCAACAUUUGUAAUCAACUGAAGACAAACUAAACAUGGUGCUCCUUACUGGGAAGGAGCUGAAUUCAUUGAUUCACUUGAUUACACACUCUCAGAGACACUAAUAAUUCCUAGCUCACAAGUGUCAGGUCACAGAUGUUUUUUUUUUUCCAAUACUUCUAUCAUUCACAUUCACAAACAUACACAUUUGUUUUCUAAAUUAAAAACUCCUUUCUGGCAAAGUUAGUGCUGAAGAGAGAAAGCAUAAUUUUUCAUUUUAAAGUCUGAUAGGAAUCCAGUUAAG
RNAcentral lists this long non-coding RNA (1206 nucleotides) under Numida meleagris (helmeted guineafowl). Its description in RNAcentral is "lncRNA (ENSNMEG00000010708.1)". Lineage: Eukaryota; Metazoa; Chordata; Aves; Galliformes; Numididae. The record is from RNAcentral.